CAUGUAUGUGUGUGUUGUGUAUGUACUAUAUAUAGUAUAUUAUAUAUAUAUACACACACACACACACACACACACACACACACACACACACAC
This 93-nucleotide microRNA precursor is filed under the name Ovis aries (sheep). RNAcentral's name for it is "miRNA (ENSOARG00000024900.1)". The record is from RNAcentral. Lineage: Eukaryota; Metazoa; Chordata; Mammalia; Artiodactyla; Bovidae.